GACGAACGCUGGCGGCGUGCUUAACACAUGCAAGUCGAACGGACAGGCCCUGCUUUUGUUGGUUGCUCGUGUGGCGCACGGGUGAGUAACACGUGAGUAACCUGCCCUUGACUUUGGGAUAACUUCAGGAAACUGGGGCUCAUACCGGAUAUGAUCUCCUGCUGCAUGGUGUGGGUUGGAAAGUUUCGGCGGUUGGGGAUGGACUCGCGGCUUAUCAGCUUGUUGGUGGGGUAGUUGCUUACCAAGGCUUUGACGGGUAGCCGGCCUGAGAGGGUGACCGGCCACAUUGGCACCGAGGUAAGGCACAGAUUCGUACGGGAGGCAGCAGGGGGGAAUAUUGCACAAGGGGCGGAAGCGUGAUGAAGCAAGGCCGCGUGCGGGAUGACGGCCUUCGGGGUGUAAACCGAUUUCGCCAGUAACGAAGCGUGAGUGACGGUAAUGUGUAAAGAAGCACCGGCUAACUACGUG
RNAcentral lists this ribosomal RNA (468 nucleotides) under uncultured bacterium. Its description in RNAcentral is "partial 16S ribosomal RNA". It matches the Rfam family "Bacterial small subunit ribosomal RNA", at positions 28 to 507 of the family's 1533-position model. The record is from RNAcentral.